RNAcentral lists this ribosomal RNA (301 nucleotides) under uncultured bacterium. Its description in RNAcentral is "partial 16S ribosomal RNA". It matches the Rfam family "Bacterial small subunit ribosomal RNA", at positions 509 to 809 of the family's 1533-position model. The record is from RNAcentral.
CAGUAGCCGCGGGAAUACGUAGGUGGCAAGCGUUGUCCGGAAUUAUUGGGCGUAAAGCGCGCGCAGGCGGUUGUGUAAGACAGGUGUGAAAUCCCCGGGCUUAACCUGGGAACUGCGCUUGUGACUGCACAGCUAGAGUAUGGCAGAGGGGGGUGGAAUUCCACGUGUAGCAGUGAAAUGCGUAGAGAUGUGGAGGAACACCGAUGGCGAAGGCAGCCCCCUGGGCCAAUACUGACGCUCAUGCACGAAAGCGUGGGGAGCAAACAGGAUUAGAUACCCGAGUAGUCCCUGUCUCUUAUAA